RNAcentral lists this ribosomal RNA (254 nucleotides) under uncultured bacterium. RNAcentral's name for it is "partial 16S ribosomal RNA". It matches the Rfam family "Bacterial small subunit ribosomal RNA", at positions 524 to 776 of the family's 1533-position model. The record is from RNAcentral.
UACGGAGGGUGCAAGCGUUAUCCGGAUUCAUUGGGCGUAAAGAGCUCGUAGGCGGUUCGAUAAGUCGGGUGUGAAACCUCCAGGCUCAACCUGGAGACGCCACCCGAUACUGUCGUGACUAGAGUCCAGUAGGGGAGCGUGGAAUUCCUGGUGUAGCGGUGAAAUGCGCAGAUAUCAGGAGGAACACCAGCGGCGAAGGCGGCGCUCUGGGCUGGAACUGACGCUGAGGAGCGAAAGCGUGGGGAGCGAACAGG